GAUGAAGAACGUAGCAAAAUGCGAUACUUGGUGUGAAUUGCAGAAUCCCGUGAACCAUCGAGUUUUUGAACGCAAGUUGCGCCCGAAGCCUUUUGGCCGAGGGCACGUCUGCCUGGGCGUCACGCAUCGCGUCGCCCCCCACAAUUCUCCGUAAAGGGAACAUGUGUUUUGGGGGCGGAUAUUGGUCUCCCGUGCUCAUGGCGUGGUUGGCCGAAAUAGGAGUCCUUUCGAUGGACGCACGAACUAGUGUUGGUCGUAAAAACCCUCGUCUUUUGUUUCGUGCUGUUGCUCGCAAGGUAAACUCUUUAAAAACCCCAAUGUGUCGUCUCUUGACGACGCUUCGACCGCGACCCCAGGUCAGGCGGGACUACCCGCUGAGUUUAAGCAUAUCAAUAAGCGGAGGA
Molecule: unclassified non-coding RNA, 404 nt
Filed under: soil metagenome
Description: partial contains 5.8S ribosomal RNA, internal transcribed spacer 2, and large subunit ribosomal RNA
Rfam family: 5.8S ribosomal RNA (bases 1-122)
Source: RNAcentral